This 274-nucleotide ribosomal RNA is filed under the name uncultured bacterium. RNAcentral's name for it is "partial 16S ribosomal RNA". It matches the Rfam family "Bacterial small subunit ribosomal RNA", at positions 523 to 796 of the family's 1533-position model. The record is from RNAcentral.
AUACGGAGGGGGCUAGCGUUAUUCGGAAUUACUGGGCGUAAAGCGCUCGUAGGCGGCUUGUAAAGUCGGAUGUGAAAGCCCUGGGCUCAACCUGGGAACUGCAUUCGAUACUGGCAAGCUAGAGUAUAGUAGAGGCAAGUGGAAUUCCGGGUGUAGCGGUGAAAUGCGUAGAUAUCCGGAGGAACAUCAGUGGCGAAGGCGACUUGCUGGACUAAUACUGACGCUGAGGAGCGAAAGCGUGGGGAGCAAACAGGAUUAGAAACCCCAGUAGUCC